This 418-nucleotide ribosomal RNA is filed under the name uncultured bacterium. Its description in RNAcentral is "bacterial SSU rRNA". It matches the Rfam family "Bacterial small subunit ribosomal RNA", at positions 96 to 507 of the family's 1533-position model. The record is from RNAcentral.
UGGCGAACGGGUGAGUAAUACAUCGGAACGUACCCUGAAGUGGGGGAUAACGUAGCGAAAGUUACGCUAAUACCGCAUAUUCUGUGAGCAGGAAAGAGGGGGGAUCGCAAGACCUCUUGCUUUAGGAGCGGCCGAUGUCGGAUUAGCUAGUUGGUGAGGUAAAGGCUCACCAAGGCGACGAUCCGUAGCGGGGUCUGAGAGGAUGAUCCGCCACACUGGGACUGAGACACGGCCCAGACUCCUACGGGAGGCAGCAGUGGGGAAUUUUUGGACAAUGGGCGCAAGCCUGAUCCAGCCAUGCCGCGUGAGUGAAGAAGGCCUUCGGGUUGUAAAGCUCUUUCGGUGGGGAAGAAAUGGCACGGGUUAAUACCCUGUGUUGAUGACGGUACCCGCAUAAGAAGCACCGGCUAACUACGUG